UACGUAGGGUACGAGCGUUGUCCGGAAUUAUUGGGCGUAAAGAGCUCGUAGGCGGUUUGUCGCGUCUAUCGUGAAAGACCAGGGCUCAACCCUGGUUCUGCGGUGGGUACGGGCAGACUAGAGUGAUGUAGGGGAGACUGGAAUUCCUGGUGUAGCGGUGAAAUGCGCAGAUAUCAGGAGGAACACCGGUGGCGAAGGCGGGACUCUGGGCUGUAACUGACACUGAGGAGCGAAAGCAUGGGGAGCGAACAGG
This 253-nucleotide ribosomal RNA is filed under the name uncultured bacterium. RNAcentral's name for it is "partial 16S ribosomal RNA". It matches the Rfam family "Bacterial small subunit ribosomal RNA", at positions 524 to 776 of the family's 1533-position model. The record is from RNAcentral.